Molecule: long non-coding RNA, 3629 nt
Filed under: Triticum aestivum (bread wheat)
Lineage: Eukaryota; Viridiplantae; Streptophyta; Magnoliopsida; Poales; Poaceae
Description: long non-coding RNA (TAES_LNC025525)
Source: RNAcentral
CCCAAGCGAGGCACCCCGACGCAUCGUUUUCAACCUCAAAAGUGGCAGCCCGUCUUCGGCAUUGCAUUCUUCCACCUACAGGUCCCCCGAUCUCUCAUCUCCCUUUUUUUAUGUUUGUAUACGAUUGGACCUAUAUACUUUAAGGUACGUACUGCUUGCUAGUGACAAAUGUUACUAUCCUGCAUACUCAUUGUUGAUUUUCAUCCAGAUUGACUUCUUGUCCAUCUACAAAAUGGCGAUAGUAAGUUCUGGAUGGCUAACACAGCUUAAGGCAAAAUGUUUUUUUAGUUUAUGUCCUUUCCACUUUUUUUCCAGGCUUGUGACUGAAAUUGGUAGUGUUCUACCCCCUACAACCAUUAAUGUUCACAAAGUUAAGGAAGUAAUUAGUGUAUUUGUGAUUUUAAUAACUGAAUAGUAAAAUUAGGCCUGAUUGCAAUAUGAUAUAUAACGAUGCUUCGAUGCUCUCACCAUUGGAUUGUACUAUAGAAUAGGCUUGAAAUAUCAGAUGAUAUAUAGUGUCGAUGUUUGGUAUUAUUGAACUAUUUCCAUCAAAUGCUGAUGCAUGUUUCCAAUGCUUAUGCGGAGUAGUACACCAUAUCCAUGUACUUAUGGUUAUAUAAAAGGCUGUUAAAAUCCAUCUAGUUCACGGCGGAGGAGACGGCCUCUGCCCCGACGAAUCUUCAAGUCCACACCAAUCUACUACCUCCGUUCCUAAAUAUAAGCCCUUGUAGAGAUUCUAAUAUGGACUACAUACGGAGCAAAAUGAGUGAAUCUACACUCUAAAAUACGUCUAUAUACAUCCGUAUGUAGUAUGUAUUGCAAUGUCUAAAAAGGCUUAUAUUUAGAAAUGGAGGGAGUAGUUCAUAUGUAUGGAAGUAGUGGCGCAUGCUCUUUUAAAUAAAUCUUUUUGUAUGCCUGACCAAAUCAUUUGUUUUGUAUUGAUCAGUGUAUACCUGCACUUGACCUGAGUGCAUGGACAACUCUUAUGUAGUAAAUUCCAAAAGAGAUAAUGGAUGACGGUACCUUAGACUACAAAAUUGAUAAUUUAUAAUUAGUUGAGUGAAAUCGGUUUGGCUCUCCAUAUUUGAUGUGUUGAAGCACAAUAUGUGUAGCACUACCAAGAUUUGCUAUUUCGGCCAUUAGUCCGGCGGUACAAUGGUGAUUUCAAUAAUCCUGUAGUCUGUGGAUGUUGCUAUUCAGUAGGUUAAUAACGUGAACUCCUAUUUAAAAAACUAGUUUUAUCUGUCCUCAUAUUUUUAAUCAUCCAUUGAAUAUGAAUGGAAAAAGGUGAAAAUGCAGGUUAGAGAGGCGCACAUCUAUCUUAAGCACCUGGUAAUUUUCAGGAAUGGUUAUGCGGAUCAGACAUGUUACGUAUCUACAUAACAAACUGAGUACACCUCGUUUUUUAUUCUAUUGUCGUUAUAAACAAAAACCUUCUUUAUCAAUUCCUUGUGAUGCUAAAAACAAAUCUAAGUACAUAUUAGAAAGGAAGAUGUAAUAUCAAUAGAAUUCGCAUAAUUUAAUAUUAGCACGACUAAACAUUCAUAGUCUUGAAAGUGGAUUGCAUGCACACAUAAUAAGUUAAAUCCAUGUUCUCAUGGACUCUAAAGUAAACACAAUUGUAUGCCAAUGCAAAUUACUACUCCCUCCGUUCACAAAUAUAAGAUGUUUUGGAUAUUUCAAUAUGGACUACAUACAGACUGAAAUGAGUGAACAAACACACUAAAACAUGCUUAUAUACAUCCAAUUCACAAAAAAGUUAGAACAUCUUAUAUAUGUGACGGAAGGGAGUGCAAAGUAUAUAGAGUAUCUAGAAUAUAUUUGUAUUAGUUCAACUAAGGGGAUUAAGUAUGUAGUUUAGCACUUGCUACUGCCAUGUUCUAGCUUGUGUUCCUUCUAGGCGCUUCCCUAAUCCUCUUGUCUUCUGUUGAUUCUUUUCUCCUAUUUUUGCAUGUAGUCCUUUUUUCGGUUUUUCCUGUAGAUUUUGAAUCCCAUUUGUUCACUAAAAUUUGAAUGUCAGUAACAUAAUUUCCCUGCUAGGCCUAGGCCAGCUUUAAUAGAAAAUUAAUUGUGUUCAGAUAUGCUUAUGGGGCAUGGUAGCACCAAGGUGCUAGUGCAUGUUCAUUCAAACAUAUAAAAUAUGAACUUUUUUUCUUAGAUGAGGGUACCUCAUCAUUGGUAUCGUCAAUGCUAAAAUGGUCAUGAUUUUUGUCUUGUACCUUAUAUUUUGAAAUAUAAAGUAGGACAUUUGUUUUUCUUAAUUAGGAAUGUAAAGUUUUGAUAUGUGUAAAGUGUUCUUUCAGGUACUCUUUUAAAUUUGUUGUGGGUAAGAAUUUUAACAUGUGUGAAGUUUCUUCAUAGUCUCUAUCUAAAUCAUCUUCUAAUGUAAUUACAUAUGGACAUACUUUCUUUUCGAAUAUAUUUGCCUGCAGUUUUUGGAAAUUCCUAAAAUAACAACAAUUAUUUAACACAUGUAGAAGAUGAGAAGUGAAAUACCUGAUCAUUGAGAAGUAUGUUCUCUGUAACCUUUUUUGCUUCAUUCGUGACUUCUGUUCCUUGGAUUUUCAGUAUGCUUUAUAAAGAACAUGCUUGCAUUAUACUUUUGGUAACUAUUUGAACUUGUUUUCCGAUAUGGAUCCUGCUGGAGGUGGCUUGUUUUCGUGCAGAAGAUGGUACCUGCUGGAGGUGUUGUUGUCGCUAGACGGAACUAACAAUGUAGGUUGUGUCAUUGCUGGCUAGAGUUGAUCGGAAAAUCCUCAAUAUUGUGUACAAUGUUCUACAAGCACAAUAUUGAUAAGUGGAAGUAAAAGUAAGCGGCUUUCCGAAUUGAGCUUAAACUUGUUAGUUGGGCAUAUUUUGGUAACACAAAUAUAAACUUAUAUAUGUGCUAUUAAUUAGAGCAAAGGGAGUUCAUGAAAAGGACGACAGGUGCAUAUGAACUUCCAGGUGUGCUACAUAGUAUUAUUAAUUAAAGAACAUAAUAGCUCUUAGGAUAAAAAGAGGCGUGCAUGCAAAGAGCGGUAGUAUAGGUUUUAGAUAAUCAAUCUAAUACCUGCCUCGGCUUGGGUUGCCACUAACGCUGCAUAGCGCAAUGACAAUUCCAAUAGAGAUGGUGGCCGCGCUAGGGCAUCCUAGUUCUCUUUUACUGAUCCGUCAGGUUCAACACCUGUGGCUGCCUGUCAGGUCCAACAUCCGCGUCGAGCAGCCAUGCGUCAUUGCGAUGGGAGAAGUCGGUCUUCAGUCCCUCAUGGAGGCCAUGCAGUUCAUGGUGUAUGUCUACAUCCAGCCCGGUGCUUUGUGGACAGACUUCUCUCGAGGAAGUUUGAGUGCGUCGGUGUUGCAGGAAUUCCUGAGUGAAUCUUGAAGGGGGUCUUUCUUUCCAGUAAAGUAUCUGCACGGAAGAUAGCUCUCUAUGUUAUUUGAUACACCAGAUCUUUUGUGUAUUUAGAUGUUCAUCUGUACUCUAAUCUAGUAGUAAUGAAACAAUAGUUUCUUCUCGGAUGCAUGUUCUGCUUUCAUGUAAGAUGUAACAUCAGAUUGAUAAGAAAAAAAACAUGGUGCUUCAUCAAAUUCUAUACGUUUUAUAGAGGAUUCAUUAAAGAACAAAAUAGGUAUGGAGAAAAAAAACA